Molecule: ribosomal RNA, 450 nt
Filed under: uncultured bacterium
Lineage: Bacteria
Description: bacterial SSU rRNA
Rfam family: Bacterial small subunit ribosomal RNA
Source: RNAcentral
AACGAACGCUGGCGGCAUGCCUAACACAUGCAAGUCGAACGAAGUCUUCGGACUUAGUGGCGCACGGGUGCGUAACGCGUGGGAAUCUGCCCUUGGGUGCGGAAUAACUUCUCGAAAGGGAUGCUAAUACCGCAUAAUGUCGUAAGACCAAAGAUUUAUCGCCCAAGGAUGAGCCCGCGUAAGAUUAGCUAGUUGGUGGGGUAAAAGCCUACCAAGGCGACGAUCUUUAGCUGGUCUGAGAGGAUGAUCAGCCACACUGGGACUGAGACACGGCCCAGACUCCUACGGGAGGCAGCAGUGGGGAAUAUUGGACAAUGGGCGAAAGCCUGAUCCAGCAAUGCCGCGUGAGUGAUGAAGGCCUUAGGGUUGUAAAGCUCUUUUACCCGGGAUGAUAAUGACAGUACCGGGAGAAUAAGCCCCGGCUAACUCCGUGCCAGCAGCCGCGGUAAU